AGGAAGCUCCCCGCAGGGAGCCUGAUGUGAGACUCGAUCCCCAGACCCAGGACCACACCUUGAGCUGAAGGCAGAUGCUCAUCCACUGAGCUACCAAGGCGUCCCCAAAGAAAGAUUUUUAAUAUGACAGUGAAUCAACUAACCUUUCUUGGUAGAAUCAUGAGAGGCACAUGGACAUUCUGAAUAAAGUCUAUUUCUCAACCUUGUAUCCAGAUGUGCUCAUGUGGAAUAUUAUAUGGAUGAAGGAAGAAAGAGCUUUAAAUCCCACUGUUGUCACGACUACCACCAUCAUUUUUACUACCUGCUCCUAUCACCACCCUGGUCACCAGUAUGCAUGUUAACAGUUCAAAGUGCUUAGCUUUGCAAUAGACUACUAACAGUCAAAUUAAGUAUAUGAGUUCCCUGUAUAACACAAACAUACCCACAAUACAAAAAUCAUAUAAUUACCAUUUCUCCCUAAAGCAUUGGAGUUGGACUCGACUACACUAAAAGCAGAAAUCUCAGAAAUAGUAUCCACUUACAUUUGAGUCUCCCAUAAAAUAAAGACAGGAUGUUGAGAAAUGUGAUUUGAGAGUGUCAAAGAGUGAUUUGUGAGUCAAUGAGUUCCUUCCUCUAUUUGCAAAUAUCAGUUAGAAAAUAGGAUAUAUAGCAUUUAGUGUAUUUUUGGAUGUCAUGAUUUGGAAGUAUUUUGUAGUUCUUUUUCUGGAAAUGAUUCAGUUCAACCCUACUGAGAAGUUUCCUUCAUUAAGCCAGUGAUAUCAUAGCAUAGAUUGCCAGAUGGGAAAAACUGUUAAGCAUUUUCUUUCAAAUUAUAGACAUGAGCUUUUGAAGAUAUUUUUUCCCAGCAUACUAUAAAACAUUAAUUAGUUAUUAGUGAAAUUUCUCUAUUUAUAAAAUGCAAAAUCUGGUGUUCUAAGAAAAAACUUAGGAAACUGAAAAUACAUUUAAAUUGUAUUCACAACCAAGAUUAAAAUGCUGUGAUCUAAAAUAUUACACUGCCGGUAUUGAUUAGGACAUUAUGGAAG
Long non-coding RNA from Canis lupus familiaris (dog), 1025 nucleotides. RefSeq lists it as uncharacterized. The transcript is spliced from 3 exons. The record is from RefSeq and is a predicted model, not a curated record. Lineage: Eukaryota; Metazoa; Chordata; Mammalia; Carnivora; Canidae.